UACGUAGGGUGCAAGCGUUGUCCGGAAUUAUUGGGCGUAAAGAGCUCGUAGGCGGCUUGUCGCGUCGACUGUGAAAGCCCACGGCUUAACUGUGGGCUUGCAGUCGAUACGGGCAGGCUAGAGUUCGGUAGGGGAGACUGGAAUUCCUGGUGUAGCGGUGAAAUGCGCAGAUAUCAGGAGGAACACCGGUGGCGAAGGCGGGUCUCUGGGCCGAUACUGACGCUGAGGAGCGAAAGCGUGGGGAGCGAACAGG
RNAcentral lists this ribosomal RNA (253 nucleotides) under uncultured bacterium. RNAcentral describes it as "partial 16S ribosomal RNA". It matches the Rfam family "Bacterial small subunit ribosomal RNA", at positions 524 to 776 of the family's 1533-position model. The record is from RNAcentral.